RNAcentral lists this transfer RNA (66 nucleotides) under unidentified. Its description in RNAcentral is "Chlorophila portschinski tRNA-Ile". The record is from RNAcentral.
UAAUGAGAUGCCUGAAAAAAAGGAUUAUUUUGAUAGAAUAAAUUAUGCGUUUAUCGCUCUCAUUAU